Molecule: long non-coding RNA, 291 nt
Filed under: Solanum tuberosum (potato)
Lineage: Eukaryota; Viridiplantae; Streptophyta; Magnoliopsida; Solanales; Solanaceae
Description: long non-coding RNA (STUB_LNC010658)
Source: RNAcentral
GUACACUUGGGAGCGCACUUGGAGUUGUGACAUAACUCCAUCUCUGUCCAAAUCAGAGAAGCGCCUACGUUAUCGCUUGUGUCUAGCAGCCUUCAUCGCAUCAAUAGUGUCCAACGUUUCCUUCUCGCUUCAAAGUUUUCACGUUCUUUAUAUUAUAUAUGUGUUAUUAUCUUUUGGCUAACAUUUUACCCAUGAGUAUUUCCUUUAUAUUUAUGCUAUACUUUUAUUUUGUUUGGGUUUGUACGGAUCAACUAAAAAUGGUGGUAAGACGUAGUUGCCACCUCGCUUCCC